GACGAACGCUGGCGGCGUGCCUAAUACAUGCAAGUCGACCUUAGUGGCGAACGGGUGAGUAACACGGGGGUAACCUGCCCAUCAGAAGGGGAAAACACUUGGAAACAGGUGCUAAUACCGUAUACUGAUGGAUGGAACCGCGGUGCAUGAGCACGUUGGUGAGGUAACGGCUCACAAAGGCCACGAUGCAUAGCUGGCCCAAGAGGGUGACCGGCCACCUUGGGACUGAGACACGGCCCAAACUCCUACGGGAGGCAGCAGUAGGGAAUCUUCGGCAAUGGACGAAAGUCUGACCGAGCAACGCCGCGUGAGUGAAGAAGGUUUUCGGAUCGUAAAACUCUGUUGUUAGAGAAGCGGUAUCUAACCAGAAAGCCACGGCUAACUUCGUGCCAGCCGCCGCGGUAAUUC
This 408-nucleotide ribosomal RNA is filed under the name uncultured bacterium. Its description in RNAcentral is "partial 16S ribosomal RNA". It matches the Rfam family "Bacterial small subunit ribosomal RNA", at positions 28 to 526 of the family's 1533-position model. The record is from RNAcentral.